Molecule: long non-coding RNA, 1694 nt
Organism: Notolabrus celidotus (New Zealand spotty)
Lineage: Eukaryota; Metazoa; Chordata; Actinopteri; Labriformes; Labridae
Exons: 4
Source: RefSeq, a predicted model, not a curated record
GGUGUCGUUUGUGUGCUUUAACUUCAAUAAGACACGGAAAAUAAAGGCCUAUACUCGGCUGUGCUGUUGAAAAAGGACACAUCUAUGUCUCACAGAAGACUGUGGGAUACAGGUGUUAUAAUUAUUACAAAGAGGAGCUAAACAGGGGUAUCAAACCCUAUGGUUACUAGCAGCUAGUGGGUCCGUUUUUCAAAAUAAAAGCACGCGUGGAUGUUUUUAUUGUGAAAACCAUGGCAGCUAAAACAACAAAACAGCUAAAAACGCAGGUGUACUGCAAUAUUUGAUACUCUCACAUACUAUACUCUUUGUUUACAAUGCUAUGGCUGAUGUAAAAUGAGUCUUCCUUCAUUUAAGCGUACAGGUUAACAGACAGAAUCUUAUUUAGAUAGUUUUAAACCGGAACUAACACAGCUGUUCUGUGCAUGGCUUAUGAACUGUUGUGUUUGCUAGCUAGCCAACAUCCUCUGUCAACAGCAUCAAAUUUCAACCUUACCAAAUAUUCUUCAGCCAGAGUUGCCCUCCGAAACAAAACGUCGAGAGAAAAAUCACUUCGCAAAAAAUCUUCAGCCAAAAAAAGGAAUUCAGAAAACAGUAUUGAUUGUGUUCGACUACAGAGCCAUGUAACUAUCUCUCCUCAUUGACUCUACACGUGUAUGGACCACGAUUCAGGGCUGCAGCACAUCAUUCAUUCUCAUUCACGCUUACAACACAGCGCUGCCUUCAGUUGUUUAAAGGAAAGUUCCACCACUGCCUGGGUCACGACAUCAGAAACAUCACCACCAAGAGUGAAUGUCUGGCUGCCAACUAUCGCUGGACACGAAAGAAGUUCAACUUUGACAGCUUGCCUCAGGCUCUGAUGUCCUUGUUUGCAAUGUUCUCGACCGAUGGCUGGGUGAACAUCAUGUAUGAUGGGCUGGAUGCUGUUGGAGUCAGAACAGGAACUUUUGUUGGGUCAUGCCUUGUUUAUGUUUGUAGAAAUAUUGAUAAUGCCGACCUGAUGGUCAACAGUGCCAAAAUGUAGGGGAACACACAAGGGCAGAAAGUAAAACUAAAGGGAUCAAGAACUACAAAAUAAAACAGGAAACACGAUAGAGUAGAAACACACAAGGAAAAACAACACAAGACAAGGUGCCAAGAGAUACAAGGACGACUUGAGGAUCUUACAAAAUAAACAGGAAAUCUAAGAAAUAUUAACACAAAGUAAAUACAACACAAAGUCUGAAGUGAAUGUGAAAAUACUCGUGCCAUAAAGCAGAGCUACCCAAUAUAUUUCUUUCCUUCCUCAAAGUUCUCAACUUGUUUCCACUCGUAUGACAACAGUGUGAAAUUUAUCUCUUGUUUCUCAAACACAAAAAACUUAAAACCUACAUUUCUUUUCUUCUGCUUCUCUCAGCCGGUGAGGAACUACAAUGAAUGGAUGCUGCUGUAUUUCAUCUCUUUCAUGGUCAUGAGCUUCUUUCUCCUGGACAUGUUCAUCGGGGUGAUGGUGGAGACGUUCCACCAGUGUCAGCAGAAGCAAAGAGCAGCAGAUGAAGUGUCGCUAGAGGAGGGAGGAGGAGAAGUGCAAGCGCAGCACGGUGGAUCACAACUCUCCCAAGAUUUUCAGCUGUUUGCCUCAACCUGCCCAUCUGUACCUUCCCAGCUUCAAACUCCAUAUCCAACCUCACUUUAAACAAUACAUCUAUUGAACUGUG